CGCCAGCCCUCUCCCACCCACAUCGCCGCCCCACCCACAUCGCCGCCGACGCCGCUCGUCAGACCUCGCCGCCACGGACUUCUCUCCUCAUCUCCCUCGCACCACGCCGCCCGCAACCUCCCUUCUCUCGUCAUGAGAAGGGACGGGAAGAGAAGAGGGAGAGCGAGCAGGUCAGGCGGCGGCCAUGGCGCUCGCAGAUCCGCCAGAGCUGUUGUUCGACCCUGGCCUCCGAGUGCUUCUGCUCAGUGGCGUGACGUACGGGCUGCCUGCUUCGCGCUCAUGCCAUGGCCUGCUUGGGACGCCGCCUCCUGCUGCUCCAACCCUAACCCUAGCAUUGCUGCUGCUGCUCCAUGUGCGCCCCCUUCCUUUGUCUCCUCUUGUUCAUACGCCAACAUGUGAGAGCUGGGAGGAAGGGCUGGAGGCCAUGGAGGUCAUGGGGGAAGGAAGAAGAGGAGGACAUGGUCAUAUGGAGGUUGUGGGGGAGAGCCAGAUAGGAAUAGGAGGCAACUGGGGAGGAAGAAGAUGUCCCCCUCGUUCCUAAUUUUGUCUUCGCGUAAUUUCAUUGCAUGCCACUUGUUCUUCUGGUCACUUCGCCUUAUCAGCUGCUUCACAAGUCUAUUUUUUUCCAUUCUCGCUCGUUGGCUGCUGCUCAUCAGUGAUAUUUCUUUGUUUUUCCUGAUUGGUCCGUUGUUAUCGGAUUCUUGUGCUUUUAGUCUAUCCCCUGGCUGGUGCCUGCUUUGAUAUGUGCUUGCGCAUCGUCUGGUAGCAGCCUCAUGCAUCUCCCUUCAUGGAUAUGCAGGGAUGGGAGGGUUUUAUAAUUCUAAUGAUGUUCCAGCUAGGAGAAGGCAAACUCACAAACAUAAGCCAGGCAGAUCAUGGAGGAGGCCGCGUCGGGCUCGCUGUGUUGCCAUCAUCGGGACGAGUGGAGGCUGCCGCUUGCGCAGAUGCUUCCAGGAGGAGCGCCAGAGCGCAUUGUCGCCAUCGAUAGGAGGAACACCAGACGGGAAUCAAGCCAAGGGAGCUGGACCUAUGGUGCUGCCAGCGCAGCACUUAAGGGCUUGGAGGUUGACAAGGCGAAAGAGGCCUGUUGUCAGCCACCAAAUUAUGAUGUUGAGUACUGCCCGAGCGGAAGAUAGCAAGGCGGUUGAUGUAGGAUAUGGAGUAAGCAGAGAUAGCGGCAGUGGACGCAACUACCACGUCGGUGGGCGCACCAGAGGCACAACACAAGGACAUUCAAAAGGCAGUGACUGUUUGCCUCUGCUGUAUCGACGACCCUGAUCAUGUUGGACAGAUAAAUAAGAUAUUACUAGAUGUGAAGUUCUUUCCUCUACAUGGACGGGUGCGGCAAUCGCACGCAUUUGUGAUCUAGGAUAAAUGCUUUUGCUUUAUCAUAGGCCACUAAACAUGCUAAGCUUGAGUGGCUGGAACACACGCUUUGCGGGAGAAGCACGAGGCGCUGCACCUCUGACCCUGUAGUGCUUGGCUCCAAUUCAUCAGGGAAGACGCCGGCAAGCAUCAAGCUGCCCUUGGUGCUUCCUCGUCAUCAAGGAGGAGGACGUCAGGAAGCGCCGUCCUCAAGGUUGCCAUCGCUCCUCGGCGCUCUGCGGGCACAACCGUCACCACACCACAGAGAAGGACGCGGAUGUGAUGCUGCUCCUUCUUGUGGUGUAUGCGUCGGCGUGGCUUGCGGUAAUGAGGCAUAUCCUCGUGGGUAAUGCUAUUUGAAGACCAUUCAUGUGAUUUAAAAGAGAAGAUGUCCAGAAUGUCUAAGGAGGUUGAAGAUGACGAUCAAAAGAUUGAUCCAUUAAGUGACUGCCAAGAUGCCAAUAAUGCUUGCCCCGUGCCAUUAGUAAUACCCUUGCUCUUUAUGAAAUCUUUCCUAUUAUAUAUUGAUGCAACAAUUAUCGUUGCAGUUUGUGAGAUCCUUAUUUACAUACAUCACUCAGCGGCUGGCCUGUACAGAGUUGCGUGGCAGGCAUAUGUGUUCCCAACCAUGUUAUCAAUUGUAGGCUUGGAAUGAUUUGCGUCAUCCAAGUGUUGUUUGUCAACAAUUCCUUUUUUUGUCCAUGUCGAUUCUGAUUUUAGAGGACACAUAUGUUUCGGAACUAUAUUGUUUCUAUGUUUUUCCCUGAUAUAUACUAAUUGAUGCA
Triticum dicoccoides is the source of this 2150-nucleotide RNA transcript. RefSeq lists it as uncharacterized. NCBI's taxonomy places the organism in Eukaryota, Viridiplantae, Streptophyta, Magnoliopsida, Poales, Poaceae. The transcript is spliced from 8 exons. The record is from RefSeq and is a predicted model, not a curated record.